RNAcentral lists this ribosomal RNA (305 nucleotides) under uncultured bacterium. RNAcentral describes it as "bacterial SSU rRNA". It matches the Rfam family "Bacterial small subunit ribosomal RNA", at positions 335 to 657 of the family's 1533-position model. The record is from RNAcentral.
GUCCCUACGGGGGGCAGCAGUAGGGAAUAUUGCUCAAUGGGGGAAACCCUGAAGCAGCAACGCCGCGUGGAGGGUGAAGGUUUUCGGAUUGUAAACCUCUGUGGAGGGGGACGAUAAUGACGGUACCCCUUUAGGAAGCCACGGCUAACUACGUGCCAGCAGCCGCGGUAAUACGUAGGUGGCGAGCGUUGUCCGGAAUUACUGGGUGUAAAGGGAGUGUAGGCGGGAAAGCAAGUCAGAAGUGAAAACUAUGGGCUUAACCCAUAGCCUGCUUUUGAAACUGUUUUUCUUUAGUGAAGUAGAGG